RNAcentral lists this ribosomal RNA (253 nucleotides) under uncultured bacterium. Its description in RNAcentral is "partial 16S ribosomal RNA". It matches the Rfam family "Bacterial small subunit ribosomal RNA", at positions 524 to 776 of the family's 1533-position model. The record is from RNAcentral.
UACGUAGGGCGCAAGCGUUGUCCGGAAUUAUUGGGCGUAAAGAGCUCGUAGGCGGCUUGUCACGUCGAUUGUGAAAGCCCGAGGCUUAACCUCGGGUCUGCAGUCGAUACGGGCUAGCUAGAGUGUGGUAGGGGAGAUCGGAAUUCCUGGUGUAGCGGUGAAAUGCGCAGAUAUCAGGAGGAACACCGGUGGCGAAGGCGGAUCUCUGGGCCAUUACUGACGCUGAGGCACGAAAGCUAGGGUAGCGAACGGG